This 76-nucleotide transfer RNA is filed under the name Camelus bactrianus (Bactrian camel). It matches the Rfam family "tRNA". Rfam says of the family: Transfer RNA (tRNA) molecules are approximately 80 nucleotides in length. Their secondary structure includes four short double-helical elements and three loops (D, anti-codon, and T loops). RNAcentral also lists the same sequence under 2 other names. The record is from Rfam by way of RNAcentral. Lineage: Eukaryota; Metazoa; Chordata; Mammalia; Artiodactyla; Camelidae.
GAGGUGAUAGCUCAGUGGUAGAGUGUAUGCUUUGCAUGCAUAGCAUAGGGUCCUGGGUUCAAUCCCCAGCACCUCC